Molecule: ribosomal RNA, 253 nt
Filed under: uncultured bacterium
Lineage: Bacteria
Description: partial 16S ribosomal RNA
Rfam family: Bacterial small subunit ribosomal RNA
Source: RNAcentral
UACGUAGGUGGCAAGCGUUGUCCGGAUUUACUGGGCGUAAAGAGCGCGCAGGCGGUCGUUUAAGUCGAAUGUGAAAGCCCCCGGCUCAACUGGGGAGGGUCAUUCGAUACUGAUCGACUUGAAGGCAGGAGAGGGAAGUGGAAUUCCGGGUGUAGUGGUGAAAUGCGUAGAUAUUCGCAAGAACACCAGUGGCGAAGGCGGCUCACUGGCCCGGUACUGACGCUGAGGUGCGAAAGCGUGGGGAGCAAACAGG